GUGCUCUCUUCAGCAGCAUGUACACUAAAACAGGAGCGAUGCACAGAGGAUGAGCACGGCCCCUGUGCAAGGAUGACACACAAAUUCGUGGAGUGUUCCAUAUUUAA
Small nuclear RNA from Nycticebus coucang (slow loris), 107 nucleotides. The record is from RefSeq and is a predicted model, not a curated record. Lineage: Eukaryota; Metazoa; Chordata; Mammalia; Primates; Lorisidae.